AACGGGUGAGUAAUGCGUGACCGACCUGCCCCAUACACCGGAAUAGCUCCUGGAAACGGGUGGUAAUGCCGGAUGCUCCAGUUGAUCGCAUGGUCUUCUGGGAAAGCUUUCGCGGUAUGGGAUGGGGUCGCGUCCUAUCAGCUUGACGGCGGGGUAACGGCCCACCGUGGCUUCGACGGGUAGCCGGCCUGAGAGGGCGACCGGCCACAUUGGGACUGAGAUACGGCCCAGACUCCUACGGGAGGCAGCAUG
RNAcentral lists this ribosomal RNA (252 nucleotides) under uncultured bacterium. RNAcentral's name for it is "partial 16S ribosomal RNA". It matches the Rfam family "Bacterial small subunit ribosomal RNA", at positions 101 to 353 of the family's 1533-position model. The record is from RNAcentral.